Molecule: non-coding RNA, 243 nt
Organism: Vicia faba (fava bean)
Lineage: Eukaryota; Viridiplantae; Streptophyta; Magnoliopsida; Fabales; Fabaceae
Source: the annotation of a GenBank genome assembly
AUGAUCUUUGUUCUGAUCAUAAAAGCUUUGGUACUCGGGCCCAAAUUUAGGGGUGUUGGUGUACAGAUAUGGCGAGACUUCAUGUGCCCAAGUGGUUAUGCCCAAGGCAAAUUCUUCCCACUGUUGCAUUUGUUCAGAUUGCUACUCAUGAUGAUGGGCUCUUUCAGGUGGUUGUUACAUCUAAGAACAGGACAUGAUCUCUGUUCCGAUCAUAAAAGCUUAGGCACCCGACCCAAAAUUUAG